GUAAGAGUUCAUUCUUUUGACUCUGCAUUGAGAUUCCAAGAAAGAAUCCGGAAAGGAUUGCCUCCUUCAUUGUAUUUGUCGACUCUCAAAUCAUUCCAUGCAUCUGGGUAUUACAGGAGUAUGGUGAGAGAUCCUAUUUCAAAUGCAACGAGGACUCACUCCCAAAUAUUGCCAUUGGAGGCACAGAUAUUGAAUUUAUUGCCCAGUUCUGCACCCAC
This 218-nucleotide unclassified non-coding RNA is filed under the name Hevea brasiliensis (rubber tree). The record is from RNAcentral. Lineage: Eukaryota; Viridiplantae; Streptophyta; Magnoliopsida; Malpighiales; Euphorbiaceae.